This 506-nucleotide ribosomal RNA is filed under the name uncultured bacterium. RNAcentral's name for it is "partial 16S ribosomal RNA". It matches the Rfam family "Bacterial small subunit ribosomal RNA", at positions 30 to 523 of the family's 1533-position model. The record is from RNAcentral.
AUUGAACGCUGGCGGCAGGCCUAACACAUGCAAGUCGAACGGUAACAGGAAGAAGCUUGCUUCUUUGCUGACGAGUGGCGGACGGGUGAGUAAUGUCUGGGAAACUGCCUGAUGGAGGGGGAUAACUACUGGAAGCGGUAGCUAAUACCGCAUAACGUCGCAAGACCAAAGAGGGGGACCUUCGGGCCUCUUGCCAUCGGAUGUGCCCAGAUGGGAUUAGCGAGUAGGUGGGGUAACGGCUCACCUAGGCGACGAUCCCUAGCUGGUCUGAGAGGAUGACCAGCCACACUGGAACGGAGACACGGUCCAGACUCCUACGGGAGGCAGCAGUGGUGAAUAUUGCACAAUGGGCGCAGGCCUGAUGCAGCCAUGCCGCGUGUAUGAAGAAGGCCUUCGGGUUGUAAAGUACUUUCAGCGGGGAGGAAGGGAGUAAAGUCAAUACCUUUGCUCAUUGACGUUACCCGCAGAAGAAGCACCGGCUAACUCCGUGCCAGCAGCCGCGGUAA